This is a long non-coding RNA of Priapulus caudatus, 118 nucleotides long. RefSeq lists it as uncharacterized. The record is from RefSeq and is a predicted model, not a curated record. Lineage: Eukaryota; Metazoa; Priapulida; Priapulimorpha; Priapulimorphida; Priapulidae. The transcript is spliced from 3 exons.
AUUCUAGAUCCACAACGCACCAUACAGGACAUUAGCAUUGAUGACGAUGACGAUGAUAAGGACUCGGAUGUGCAGCGGCUGGCUGCACAAGACUAUGAGAAAGUCAAGGAAAAGGGAG